RNAcentral lists this ribosomal RNA (492 nucleotides) under uncultured bacterium. Its description in RNAcentral is "partial 16S ribosomal RNA". It matches the Rfam family "Bacterial small subunit ribosomal RNA", at positions 29 to 507 of the family's 1533-position model. The record is from RNAcentral.
AGUGAACGCUGGCGGUAGGCCCAACACAUGCAAGUCGAACGGCAGCACAGUAAGAGCUUGCUCUUACGGGUGGCGAGUGGCGGACGGGUGAGGAAUACAUCGGAAUCUACUUUUUCGUGGGGGAUAACGUAGGGAAACUUACGCUAAUACCGCAUACGACCUACGGGUGAAAGCAGGGGAUCUUCGGACCUUGCGCGAUUGAAUGAGCCGAUGUCGGAUUAGCUAGUUGGCGGGGUAAAGGCCCACCAAGGCGACGAUCCGUAGCUGGUCUGAGAGGAUGAUCAGCCACACUGGAACUGAGACACGGUCCAGACUCCUACGGGAGGCAGCAGUGGGGAAUAUUGGACAAUGGGCGCAAGCCUGAUCCAGCCAUACCGCGUGGGUGAAGAAGGCCUUCGGGUUGUAAAGCCCUUUUGUUGGGAAAGAAAAGCAGCAGGUUUAUACCCCGCUGUCCUGACGGUACCCAAAGAAUAAGCACCGGCUAACUUCGUG